This 247-nucleotide long non-coding RNA is filed under the name Prunus persica (peach). RNAcentral describes it as "long non-coding RNA (PPER_LNC007711)". The record is from RNAcentral. Lineage: Eukaryota; Viridiplantae; Streptophyta; Magnoliopsida; Rosales; Rosaceae.
CAGAGGGUUGUUUUCUAUAGCUAUGCAUUGGACGGAGAACCUGCCUAUAUGUUCGACUGAGGAAGCAUGGGGGUCUUCCCCGUUGAACAAAGUGAAGUUUGGCACUUUGAAACCUGGAGACAAUGGUAUUUGAUCGAUGUAGGCUGGGUAUGGCUUUCUGUAAGUAGGCCUUUCCCCUCUUCUAGCCUCGGGUUCCAUGAUCUCUCUGACCAUUCUUCGUAAUGCCCCUACGUCAUUUAAAGCAUUG